UUUGCCUACGGGGGGCAGCAGUGGGGAAUAUUGCACAAUGGGGGAAACCCUGAUGCAGCAACGCCGCGUGAGUGAAGAAGUAUUUCGGUAUGUAAAGCUCUAUCAGCAGGGAAGAGAAUGACGGUACCUGACUAAGAAGCCCCGGCUAACUACGUGCCAGCAGCCGCGGUAAUACGUAGGGGGCGAGCGUUAUCCGGAUUUACUGGGUGUAAAGGGAGCGUAGACGGUUCUGCAAGUAUGAAGUGAAAGCCCG
This 253-nucleotide ribosomal RNA is filed under the name uncultured bacterium. Its description in RNAcentral is "partial 16S ribosomal RNA". It matches the Rfam family "Bacterial small subunit ribosomal RNA", at positions 334 to 604 of the family's 1533-position model. The record is from RNAcentral.